This 254-nucleotide ribosomal RNA is filed under the name uncultured bacterium. RNAcentral describes it as "partial 16S ribosomal RNA". It matches the Rfam family "Bacterial small subunit ribosomal RNA", at positions 524 to 776 of the family's 1533-position model. The record is from RNAcentral.
UACGUAGGAGACGAGCGUUGUCCGGAAUUACUGGGCGUAAAGCGCGUGUAGGCGGAUGGGCAAGUCUGCUGUGAAAGCUCCUGGCUUAACCGGGAGUGGUCGGUGGAAACUGCCAAUCUGGAGGACGGUAGAGGUAGGUAGAAUUCCCGGUGUAGUGGUGAAAUGCGUAGAGAUCGGGAGGAAUACCUGUGGCGAAGGCGGCCUACUGGGCCGGACCUGACGCUGAGACGCGGAAGGCGUGGGGAGCGAACGGG